Molecule: long non-coding RNA, 1916 nt
Filed under: Parus major (Great Tit)
Lineage: Eukaryota; Metazoa; Chordata; Aves; Passeriformes; Paridae
Description: lncRNA (ENSPMJG00000000884.1)
Source: RNAcentral
GUGGCAGCUAAAGGGGAGUGAGAAAUUUGGAAAGGAUCUUUAAGUCAGUAUAUUUCCCUGACUUCAGCAGGACAAAGAACCUGCCCCAGAGUUAGAUUUGCAGGUUUUAAGAAAAAGGAGGGGAGAUGGUAAAAGUUGGGAAUGAAGAACAGUUUGUUAUACAUUGAAAAGGGGAGAAAACAGAUACAAGGUGCUCUGUAUUUCUUUAUAUAUAUGUUACGAUGCCAAGCUUAAUCAUUUACAUGUCUUAAAAUGCUUCAGAAUAGAGUUGAAAACUUAAAAUUAGAAGUAGUUCAGCAAUGUUUGUUUUGUAGGCCAAUAGCUGAUGUAAGCCCAUAGCCAAGUGAGGAUUUCAGGGAGAGAUUUUUGUUUAUAUAUUUUUUUAUUAUUUAUUUUUUUUUAAAUAGCAGUACAUUGCUGUAGAAAAUAAUCUAAUUCUUAAGAUCAUGGGCUGGUUUAUGUUGGAAGGGACCUUGCAGAUGAUUUAGUACCAAUGUGUGUGCCUGUGGGUGACAAGUAAAUGCCAGAUGUCAGUGAAGAGUCAGGAAUUUCUCCUUGCUAUGGAGAGUUAUGAUGUAGCAGAGAGAGGAGACUUGGCUUCAAAACCACAGGUGUCAUCAAGUGCAGUUCUUUACUAGCUCUGCCAGAACUCGGGAUCUGGAAUAACCUGGAAAGUGGAUAAGAGACAGAAUUCUUCUUUCCACCCUGGGGACCUGGCUUGAUUGCUGGAGCUGCCUCCUCGUGGUCUAGCCAAAGAUAGCAGAUGAUUUUUAAUAGCCACACCUCUUUAGGAUUGUUAUUUUUUUUGUCUCCUCCAAUAAAGGCUAGAAGAAAUGUGGUUCUGUUUCCGAAAAAUACGGCCGGCAUGGAAACGAGAACUGCUUUCUGUGGUAUCGAGUGCAGGGGAGCAGUUAUGGGAUUCUGAGCACCCACUUCAGUCUUGCCUUACGUCACCGGGAUCAGAAGAGAGAGCUGUCGGUGACAACCACAUCGUUCAUGUCAUUGCACUUGACAGGCAGCUCCCAGCUGCCUGAAGGGGGUCAAAGAUGGAAGAGAGAAAUCUGGCUGUCUCCAUCCUGGAAAUUCAGUGCAACCGAGCUGAUGUGGCUGCGGUGGCCGUGAGCCACCCACAUGUCCUUUGGGGUAAGUGUUCUGGGUUUUUUGGUUUGGUUUUUUUCUAAUUGAUGGAAUGAAAUGGGAAUGUCCAUAAAGAGCGUUGUCAUGUCUCUCCUGUGGACAGGAGCUUCUUGGGUUGUCCUCACACAAUUCCCUGUAACUGUGCAGUAAUCCCUCCACACCUGUGUCUAUGAACCUAAUAUAUCUGAUUCUGAUUUGGGUGUUUGUUUCUUGCUUGUAAAUAUUUGCAAAUGGUCCUGAUUUUAAUUCCUGGGAAUGUUGACAAACUCUGGUGACAGGCAUUGAUUUGCUUUCUGACACAAAACAGAUACAGGUUUCUCACACCUAAUUUUUAUUUUCUAUACUUUUCUUUCCCGUAUUGCAAACUCAAUCCCAGGGAGCGUGAUCCUGGGAUCCAUAGCAGGACUGCACCUGGGCCCAGGCCCCUGCUGUGCUCUUCUCUGUUCCUGGUGCAGCCAGUGCUCAACAGGAGCUGUAAAUCCCUUGUGAAUUUGUACCACAGCUCUAGGGAGAUAACUCAAAACAGGGCCCACCAUUGUUAGUACACCGUUCCUCAGUCCCCUGCUCUCCCUGCUGUCUUUCUGAACGAGACCCACAUGGGAGGCUUUGAACUUUGUGUGUCACACCCAGAGAUGGGAUCAAAUGUCCCUUGUUUGCCUUUUUCAGCCUGUGUUGUAUUCACAGAGCGUGAGGAGUCUGUGUUCCACCAGGGCCCUGAGAACCAUUGCCAGGUUUGGUCUUGAUGGACCAAUUUUCAUUUUCACUGCUAUUAUCAGAGU